Long non-coding RNA from Sycon ciliatum, 671 nucleotides. RefSeq lists it as uncharacterized. The record is from RefSeq and is a predicted model, not a curated record. NCBI's taxonomy places the organism in Eukaryota, Metazoa, Porifera, Calcarea, Leucosolenida, Sycettidae. The transcript is spliced from 3 exons.
AUACAAAUCAUGUUCGGUGCCCAGAUGCAUCGGUACAUAUUCCACUAGGAUACAAUUUUGAAACGGUCAAUCUGACAACCGGAGUGAAGAUUUGCAGGGAUGUUGGUAUGGUGAUUGCUACCGUUGACACUACCAACCUAAACCCAAUAGUUGCGCAUUGUACAUAUGAUAUGAUAUUCCAUUAUACACAUGCCAUUACCUUUCAGGAUUCUUCCGACCUUCCCUCUAUCCAUUCUUAUCGUUCGGGUAAACCUGGAAGAUUCGACCGUUAUGGGGGGUUCUAUGCUGGUGAAGCUAGAACUGCUCGGGUGAUUUGUGCAGCAUUUACCAACUGCCUUUCAGCGCCCAAAAUUGUAAAUGCAAAAAUUACACGGAUGAAAAGUCAACCAUCAGGCAGUGAUGCGUUCACGUCAGGCCUUCUUAUGGUCCAAUGCAACACAGGUUACAUGUUCGCGAACCCGCUUCCUUUGGUUUGUGCAGGUGAAGGUACCUGGACUUCCGGAGAAUGUCUGGCUGCAUGUGCGCUGCCAACCGUCAAUAAUAGUGUGAACUUGGUGGGAAAUUUUGUUAACCAAAGUGGUUUACGGGUACAUGUAUUUACGGUUGAAUGUGGUAUGGGAUAUUAUGUAGCUCCAAGCGCAACCUCAGGCCGCUGUUCUGGACCUGGAGGA